UAUAGUAAAUACAAACACAUCGUAUACGUAUUAUGUACAUAUAUAUGUAUAUGUACACAUAGUCGAAAUAAGAAGAAAAUGAUCAUUGCGAGCAAGAUUCGAAUAAUGUAACAUGACACAUUCACACGUGGAAUAAAUAUAGAAGUAACAUCCUUACCCAUUUUUUUCACUAAACAAAAAAUGGAAAAUAUAAUUUCACUAGACACUUAGCACAAAUUAUUGCAACCGUUAUAUGAUAACUAUGAGUAUAUAAUGUCAUCUGUCAGAAAAAAUAUAACCACUUGGCAAUAUACCGGACAGCUACAAGCAUGUACAUGUUGCCAGGUUGAAUCUGCUGUCACGCCUUGGGCUUCUCGGUGCAUCGUGAGCAGGUGCCAGGUAAGGGGUUAGAAAAGUUGGUGCCCGCGGCAUAAUUUCUUUUUCUUUUUCUUUUUCACAAUUGUAUUUAUAAUUGUUAAUAAUAUUAAUGAAGAAAUAAUAAAAGCAUUAUUGAAAAUUUUUUAUUUUAUUAAAACAAAUAAUUCUUCAAUUGUAUUGUGUUCUUCAUUAUAAAGAAUAAAACAAAAUUUAUAUGUAUUUGUGUGUAUUACGAAAGAAAAUUAAUUAAAAAGUAUAUAUUUGUAUUAUAUAUGUAUAAAGAAUAUGUAUAAAGAAUAAAUAUUUAUGCAUUAACAAAGUCAAAUUAUGAUUACGUAUCAAUUAUUUUUAUAUAUACGGCUAAAUAAAACAUAAUAUUUAAUGUUUAGUUGUAUAAUAUGUAUACGCAAUAAAAAAUUAAAAUAAAAUCUUUUAGAUACACUUACUUUUAUAAA
This is a long non-coding RNA of Apis cerana (Asiatic honeybee), 812 nucleotides long. RefSeq lists it as uncharacterized. NCBI's taxonomy places the organism in Eukaryota, Metazoa, Arthropoda, Insecta, Hymenoptera, Apidae. The record is from RefSeq and is a predicted model, not a curated record.